RNAcentral lists this ribosomal RNA (1433 nucleotides) under Vibrio parahaemolyticus. RNAcentral describes it as "bacterial SSU rRNA". It matches the Rfam family "Bacterial small subunit ribosomal RNA". Lineage: Bacteria; Pseudomonadati; Pseudomonadota; Gammaproteobacteria; Vibrionales; Vibrionaceae. The record is from RNAcentral.
UAACACAUGCAAGUCGAGCGGAAACGAGUUGUCUGAACCUUCGGGGAACGAUAACGGCGUCGAGCGGCGGACGGGUGAGUAAUGCCUAGGAAAUUGCCCUGAUGUGGGGGAUAACCAUUGGAAACGAUGGCUAAUACCGCAUGAUGCCUACGGGCCAAAGAGGGGGACCUUCGGGCCUCUCGCGUCAGGAUAUGCCUAGGUGGGAUUAGCUAGUUGGUGAGGUAAGGGCUCACCAAGGCGACGAUCCCUAGCUGGUCUGAGAGGAUGAUCAGCCACACUGGAACUGAGACACGGUCCAGACUCCUACGGGAGGCAGCAGUGGGGAAUAUUGCACAAUGGGCGCAAGCCUGAUGCAGCCAUGCCGCGUGUGUGAAGAAGGCCUUCGGGUUGUAAAGCACUUUCAGUCGUGAGGAAGGUAGUGUAGUUAAUAGCUGCAUUAUUUGACGUUAGCGACAGAAGAAGCACCGGCUAACUCCGUGCCAGCAGCCGCGGUAAUACGGAGGGUGCGAGCGUUAAUCGGAAUUACUGGGCGUAAAGCGCAUGCAGGUGGUUUGUUAAGUCAGAUGUGAAAGCCCGGGGCUCAACCUCGGAAUUGCAUUUGAAACUGGCAGACUAGAGUACUGUAGAGGGGGGUAGAAUUUCAGGUGUAGCGGUGAAAUGCGUAGAGAUCUGAAGGAAUACCGGUGGCGAAGGCGGCCCCCUGGACAGAUACUGACACUCAGAUGCGAAAGCGUGGGGAGCAAACAGGAUUAGAUACCCUGGUAGUCCACGCCGUAAACGAUGUCUACUUGGAGGUUGUGGCCUUGAGCCGUGGCUUUCGGAGCUAACGCGUUAAGUAGACCGCCUGGGGAGUACGGUCGCAAGAUUAAAACUCAAAUGAAUUGACGGGGGCCCGCACAAGCGGUGGAGCAUGUGGUUUAAUUCGAUGCAACGCGAAGAACCUUACCUACUCUUGACAUCCAGAGAACUUUCCAGAGAUGGAUUGGUGCCUUCGGGAACUCUGAGACAGGUGCUGCAUGGCUGUCGUCAGCUCGUGUUGUGAAAUGUUGGGUUAAGUCCCGCAACGAGCGCAACCCUUAUCCUUGUUUGCCAGCGAGUAAUGUCGGGAACUCCAGGGAGACUGCCGGUGAUAAACCGGAGGAAGGUGGGGACGACGUCAAGUCAUCAUGGCCCUUACGAGUAGGGCUACACACGUGCUACAAUGGCGCAUACAGAGGGCGGCCAACUUGCGAAAGUGAGCGAAUCCCAAAAAGUGCGUCGUAGUCCGGAUUGGAGUCUGCAACUCGACUCCAUGAAGUCGGAAUCGCUAGUAAUCGUGGAUCAGAAUGCCACGGUGAAUACGUUCCCGGGCCUUGUACACACCGCCCGUCACACCAUGGGAGUGGGCUGCAAAAGAAGUAGGUAGUUUAACCUUCGGGGGGACGCUUACCACU